UACGGAAGGCAGCAGUGGGGAAUAUUGCACAAUGGGCGAAAGCCUGAUGCAGCUAUGCCGCGUGUAUGAAGAAGGCCUUAGGGUUGUAAAGUACUUUCAUCGGGGAGGAAAAAACAAAACUAAUAAUUUUAUUUCUUGACGUUACCCGAAAAAGAAGCACCGGCUAACUCCGUGCCAGCAGCCGCGGUAAUACGGAGGGUGCUAGCGUUAAUCAGAAUUACUGGGCGUAAAGAGCACGUAGGUGGUUUUUUUAAAGUCAGAUGUGAAAUCCCUGGGCUUAACCUAGGAACUGCAUUUUGAAACUGAAAUACUAGAGUAUCGUAGAGGGAGGUAGAAUUCUAGGUGUAGCGGUGAAAUGCGUAGAUAUCUGGAGGAAUACCUGUGGCGAAAGCGGCCUCCUAAACGAAUACUGACACUGAGGUGCGAAAGCGUGGGGAGCAAACAGGGGUUAGAUACCCGU
Molecule: ribosomal RNA, 460 nt
Filed under: uncultured bacterium
Lineage: Bacteria
Description: bacterial SSU rRNA
Rfam family: Bacterial small subunit ribosomal RNA
Source: RNAcentral